This 154-nucleotide ribosomal RNA is filed under the name uncultured bacterium. RNAcentral describes it as "partial 16S ribosomal RNA". It matches the Rfam family "Bacterial small subunit ribosomal RNA", at positions 356 to 507 of the family's 1533-position model. The record is from RNAcentral.
CAUGAAUAUUGGACAAUGGACGCAAGUCUGAUCCAGCCAUGCCGCGUGAAGGAUUAAGGUCCUCUGGAUUGUAAACUUCUUUUAUUUGGGACGAAAAAAGGGGAUUCUUCCUCACUUGACGGUACCAGAUGAAUAAGCACCGGCUAACUCCGUG